Bombus huntii is the source of this 5694-nucleotide long non-coding RNA. RefSeq lists it as uncharacterized. The record is from RefSeq and is a predicted model, not a curated record. NCBI's taxonomy places the organism in Eukaryota, Metazoa, Arthropoda, Insecta, Hymenoptera, Apidae. The transcript has 4 exons.
AAAAAGAGUUAGAUGGAACUAUAUAAUUUAUAUCACAAAAUUAAUCUUUGGCAGUAAGAAAUUAAAGUUUCGAAUUUGAUAAUUCUUAUCAAAAUGUUAUUAUAACAUUCGUAUAAAAUUUGUGCAUAAAAUUAAAUUCUUUCUAAUUCUCUAUAGUUUGUUAUAAUGUUAUAUCAUAAGUAAUUGAACGAGUAAUCGAAUAUCGUAACAACUAGACAAUCGCUAAUAUUUUUACGGAAUACAAGUUUCUGAAUUACAUAAAAUAUAUUACAUAAAGAAGAUAUCGGAUUGAUAUGUUGUAUUAACUAGAACACUAGAUUUGAUUACGUAACGGUACAGUCUUUUAUGCAAUAAAACGUAGCAAAUGGUAGCCUUUCUUUGUGGAGAAAGGAAUCCAUAUCGUUUAAUUUACUAGGAAUAACCGUAAUCUUCUACCCGGAAGGUAUUGCGUAUUUAGAACUGGAUUUUUUAGCAAGUAAAAAAACAAGAAGCGAUUAAUCGUGGUCUAUAGUAAAUAUCCUUAUCAAAUAUCAAAUUAUUUCCGCGAUUCCUAAAAAAAAAAAAUUAGAAGAAAAAAAUAUACAUGGCAUUCAACAUGGUUUUUUUUUUAAAAAGGAGCAAAUCUAUAUAAUUGCAGUAAAAAAUUUUUUAUAUUUAUUAUAUUUAUAUAAUUUCUUCAAGAUGUUUUGAAUUCCAAAUGAAUCAUCAGCGGAUUUUCACCAACUGUGACGUAAAAGUAAAAUCUCAUUCUAUAAGAGCAACGACUUGUACAGGUUGUGAUUCUUCGACAGAAUGCAUCGGUACCGCGCACGAUGCGUGGACGUGCUGCAUUAUCUGAUUACACGCACACCUGUGAAAGGUUUCAUUACUUUCUAACAUUAAGCCAUUUUUAACGUCUCGUCGCGCCUUCUAAGUUUAUACAGACACACACACGCACGGUAUUCUAUUAUAAUGCGUCUCGAUCGAUCGUAGAUAGAUGACAGAGGAGUUUCAUUGGUGCCGAUCGGGCUAGAAACUUCAAGGAGAAAUACUUUCACUGUCACGCCGUGUUACCACUUGUAGUUCCCUGGAUUUAACAAGGAAAGUGAAUCGCUUGAAAUGAUUGGAAGAUGAUUGAAUAGAAAGCUUUUAUCGCUUGGCAAGAUAACGUAAUACAUCGAGAACUUUAACAUAAUGUACAAGUUGAAAAAUUAAGAUAAAAAUUGUUUAAAACAAUUGAAAAAUUACUGAAAUCUAUAGAAGGGACGAUAAUGGCAGAAAUAAAAGAAAACUUUAUUCGAAAAAAUUAUUCAAAAGCUAUUUAGCGUUCUUUACUUUUUAACGACUCGACUUUUUAAACAUUACGCAAUAUGAAUGUCUAAUUAAUUAUGAAAGGAAGACGCAAUGUCUAAAAAAAUAACAAGUAUGUCGCUCAAACAUGAGUCGCUUGUUACCUUCUAGGAAUAAGAUUUAUUUGAAUAAUGACGUGUCUGUUACCGUUUUCUCAAUGCCAGUUUCGAUACGUCGAAGGCAUAAAACGAUGGGCGUUUACGCCAACGCUAAAAGUGCCGUGGUAUACGACACCAGUUCUUGCGAGUCACCUGAAUCAUAAGAAAGUGAUUCGGGAGCCUUUAUUCUAAAUGAUCGGAUGUUCAAUGGAAUAUUCCAAAUCGAGGAACAUUUUGACUCGAUAUCGAUGAGAUACAGAUACAAGGUUUUUCCUUCUAAUACUUUUAAACACCAUAAUCCAUCUUUCAUGCAAACUUCAUACAGGAAAUUAAGUGCUUAGCAAAAUUAUAAUCAUAUAAUAAAGCUCAUAAUUUCCAAUUCAUCGUAAUGACAUUGAUUUAUUUGAAAGUAAAGCUAAAUAUAAAAUUUAAUUCUUAAUGAUUCAAUUGAUGGGCGAUAACCAAUAUGGAAUCCAGAAUCAUCGUUGCAACGUGAAUUUCAAAUUCCGUAUACAUGUGUACAACUGCAAACAGUACAAUUGUUGCGAAAAUAAAAUUCGAAGGAAAGAGAAGCGUGCUAUUCAUACGCUAACCGAGAAAAGUAACUCGAAAAGAGAAAGGGAUGAUGAAGUCGACUUCAUGGUUUGCUGUGCAAUUUUGUUAAUAACAUUGUAAAAUUGCUGGCUACGGAAAAACUUUAAUCUGACGCCAUUCACAUGGUAAAAGGCAACAAUUUCGACCGGUAAAUUGGUAAAAAUCGUAGACUUUUUAUCGCCAUCACUGAGUUGAAUGUAUUGAUCUGGAAGGAGUUAUAACAUACAAACACGGUGCAAAUUAAUUUGUAAUUUUCAUGGAAAGAGCUCUGGCCUCGUCACUUUUAAAGCGAGCCAUUUAAGGAAGAGGUAUAAAGAAUGAUUUAUAGUGGACAUUCUUAGACUUUCACCGACAUUAAAGAUUCAUCUGUCUGCAAGGGUCGACUUUCAUGCUCGUAGGAGUAACGUUACGUUCACUCACUUUGUUUUUUUCGUCGCGGUUGGCUACGUUUCCGUCUGUUAACGCUUUUCAUGACUCGUGGAUCAUCAGUGACCCAUGAUAUUCCAGAUAGAAAUAGAACUUUCAUUGAACGGACAAAUAUGUUCUUCGUUAUACUCAAGUAAGAUAGAUGAGCGAAAAGAUCAACGUACCAGAUGUAUUAAAAUGUUUACUUAGAGAACCUUACAUGGUGUGUAUAGUUAGAAAAAACUAAUGAUAUGAAACGUGUUAAGAUCUAACUAAUUAAGUAUUUGUCAUCUUGAAAUGAAAUUACUUAACAAUUUUACUUAAUAAUUAUUUAAAUCUAAGCACGUUUUAUUGUGCUCAUAAUGUAGUAUUCUCGCAUAUAUUAGUUUAUAAUAGUAUAUAACAUAAUAGCUUGUCAAUUUCAAUAACGCUAAUUAAGUAGGAACUUGAGAUAGAGAUAAUCAUAGCUCCUGUCGCUUGGUUGUCCGAUCAAUAAAUCUGCGAUCCGACAUUUCAAUAAACACGCGAUAUUCUCGAGAAAUAACACGUUAUCUAUUGUAUGGUUAAUCAAUGAUGCAUGUCGCGUUUAGAAAAUUAGUCACUCGUCACAGGCCACGAUCACGAAUUGCACAUCGAGAGAAUAAUCGAAGGGUAACGAUCUCCCGGUUGGAAAGUCGCGAAGCUAAGGGGAACAACAGAGUGCAAUCAGCCUCUUUCUUACGAAUUUUCAUUCUGGCCCCGCUUUCGUCGCCGAUGACCCAACCCAAGACCUACUUUCUGUAAUCAUCCUGUUUCAAAACGGGUACACUCGAACCAAUGUUCGUGACUGUGUAAAACUUAACUUCAAUGGGAACACGCUCACCUGCACUUAAAUAGACAUAUUUCUCGUUUUUUAUAUUUCGAUGUAUUCAUUUUUUCAUGCAUAAUAAUAUUUAAUACGUGCAUAAGUUUUGUGAAGAAAUUUAUAAAACUUUGUAAAGGCUCUUCUGUUCACGAAAAGUACAAUAUUUAUUGUAUCGCGUGUUUCAAAAAAUUUAUAAAGUAAUGGUAAAAAUGUGUCUCAUAUUUGCCUUAUCUUUUUUUUACAGAUUACAAAUUUUCGUUCGCAUUAUUUUCGUGUCACUCUGUAUACCUAUUGGCAAACCAAUCGUGCGUAGAAUGUGAUUAUGGAACGGAGUAAACAAUCGUCUAGCUGUCUUCUACUGAAAAUUUCAUAAUUUCACCUAAUUUCAUUAUCUUUGUUUCGAUAGGAUUGAAUAAAAUAAAUGUUCUCAAUGCGUAAAUGACGUUCAAGACAUCGUACAUAAACGUACCUACGACGACACCAUGUUCAGCAUUCGCCGCUAGCAACUCAUCAGCAAUUCGAUUAUUCAUCGGAAUCUAGGUCUGGAGCGAAAAAUACGGAGUAACCAGGCCACAGUCUGUGAAUCAGCAAGACGCUAUCUCCAGAUUGUUCUUAGAUCCUUCUCAACGAUCUCUAAUUAUAGAUUAUUGGAACGAUCAACAAACGAGGAGAAUCAAGGACUAUGUUCUGCAUCGUUAACGAUUACCGUCGAUAAAUGGUCCAGACUCACGACUUCACGGAAGAUUUCUGUGUGAUAAAAGUCGCCAACUUGCUUCCUAUUCGAUUUGUAUGGAUACUGUGUUCUUGAAACGUCGUUGUGUUUAUGUAUGUUUUAUGUUUGCCUAGCUAUACGCUACUAAUGUUUUUACCUUUGAAGAAUUACAAUUCGCACCUCAUGGACUCGAUACGCGAAAAACUGACUUUGCUGCGGUAAAUAGAAUGACACUUAAUUAUAAAAAGAUAACAUUAUUCUCUUAAGAGAUUAAAACGUGGAAAGUAGUUUUUGUAGAAGGUAUCUUACGGUGAACGGUAGGUGAAGUCGAAGCUUAUCCGAACACGUAUAUCCCAUAUAAAGAAAAGGCUGGAGGGCAGGUUGCGGGAUCGAUCGAAGAAGAAGAAACGAGUCUUCGCAGUACGAAGACUUUCACGCGAUGAUGGUCUUGUUAUUGUUUCCUAUUCUUCUGUUCGUGUAAGUACGUUAUUCACCUAAAUUGUCACAUAACUGUGGAUCUACAAACCUAUGAAAACGCUUAUCUUCUCGAUCUAUCUUUUUCUUAUUUUUUUAAACGAGGGAAAACAUACAUCUAUCCGCCUUUAUUUGUACUGUUGCAAACAUGUCACGACAUGGUGAAUAAUGCGAGAGGACAAGAUGGUAACGACAAUGGUAGGGUGAAAAGAGCGUGGUUUCAAGGACCUGAUUCCUCUAUCGCGAAUGGAAAGUCGAAGAAGCAGGAAUUGUCAAAUGAAACUGUGAUUUAUGCCCAUUUCUGCAAACUCGUUGGUAUGGUCGCUUCAUUUGCAAUUCUGGGAAUGGUUUUCAAGUCGAACGACUGACGAUCCGAGGCAAAGGAUGGAGAAAAUGUCGAACAAUUAACAAGAUACGUUUACGCGGUUUUCGAUUUUCUCUGCUGAUCAGUUUGCUCUUCAAAAGUAAUACCGAUUCUUAGGCAUACGUUAUGAAUGUGUGUGUGUUUUUUAAAGUAUUUUCUAAGUGAUUUCAGUUUUGGAAAAAUGAUAAAAAUCGUUCUACUUUCGUGUCACGUAUGUACCGGGUCACGUCUGCCGUUUCAAAGAACCGCCACACCGUCAUCCUGACAUACGUUUCUAGGUAAGAAUAAUACUGUUUGUGGUAGCACGAUUGGAUGUUGUUAAUGCAAAGGAAAAAAGGGAAAAGAAUUUAUUCGAGUAAAAUCGAUUGAUUUGACAAAAUUAUCGUGGAUAGUAUUCUUUUUCUACAAUUUUUAUUAAAAUUGUAACGGCAAACAUGUAAUAGUUUUGGUAUACUUUAGAUUCUAAACUACUUUAAAUUGUGACGUUUCGUAAAAAAUGUUUUACCUUCACAGUAUGGCGCAGCUUGCUGUAGUUUUGGAACAACAGAUAUACAGAAAUAUGUUAUGUUUCAUGAGAUUCAUUAUAAAAAAUUCUACCUACAUUGCUUAAUCACCAUUUAAAUAUUUUUAAAAGUUUUAGAACUAUCUUUCAGUAUCUGGCAUAGUUUAAUUAGCUUCGUUAGAAUUGGCGACCAAAUCCAUUUACCAGGCUUUCCUAAACGCCUGACAAAAAACAUUAGACAUUGGUACCACGAUAUUAUUUCAUAUUUCUAUGUGCGCGAGAGAUAUACAUAUUGCAAGGAACUACGUAAACCUUUCAAAUUCCAGAAACGUUCAUGAAGAAAGAAAGAAAAAUAGCCCUCAGAAAAAUAGA